UGUGUGCUCUGGAACUCUGCCUUCUGCAGUCCCCACCUCCUCCUUCCUUUCGGAGAGACUCAGAAAGAAUUCUUGAGCAAGGGCAGAGCACAAAAGAAAGAUGCGUACCUGCACAAGGCUAGGAGACAGGAGGAGUCCGAGAGAUACAAUAUAGAUUUUAAAGGCAUCACCGCAAAGACAAUAUUUUCGCUUUGUGCUUUUUUUUUUAAAUCUGGCAAAGAAAGAGGACACAGCUUCUUCUUUGCACAUAUGAUCAGGGGACAAGCAGAGGUGUAACGUUAACAAUUAUUACAGUGAAAAUGCCUCUGAUUUUUGCUUUAUGGGUUGUAACGGUUUUUGUUUUAAGAAGGUCCUAUGCAGACCCAGUAACUCAGCCAGAAGGCACCGUUCCCGUCCACGAAGGAAAACCCGUGCUUCUCAACUGCACUUUCGACUAUGCUGGGGUUCCAGAUCUCUACUGGUACGAGCAGCAUCCCCAUGAAGCCCCUCGCCUGUUGCUGACACAAUAUGAAGCCUCGGACGAGGAGGAGAAGAGACGCAGUCGAGGGUUCUCUGCUAAACUCGAGAAAAACUCCAAAUCCUUCCACCUGGAGAAAAACUCCAGCGAAGUGAGCGACUCUGCUGUCUAUUACUGCGCCUUGAGAGACACAGUGAGCAAAGCCACCAGGGGAAACUGUACAAAAACCCCACUGGGUGAGAAACACAAAGGACUGAAAUAGCUGAGGCUGUGGGUGUCUCAAGAGCUCAAAAGUGUUUGAAUGUUCAUAACCGGGUACAGAGAGAGCAGAUCCUCUCUCUUUAACACUUUCAAAAAUUCUGUCAUGCUCUAAUCCCCAUUCUUUAGUCUAGUCCAGGUUCGGGGUAGGUCAAAGGUUAGGGGUAAGGGACUGGGGUGUUGCCUGUAUGGCAAUAAGUUAGAAUUUAGGGUUACAUUUAUUGUUAUCGGUAAGGGUUAGGGGUUAGGGUUAUGGCUAUUUUAAGGUUAUGGUUAAGAUUGGAGUUAAAGCUUUAGAAUUGGAGCAUGGUUAGAAGCUAAAGGGUGGAAAUUGGGGUUAGGCCUAUUUUAGGGUUAGUGUUGUAAAUUUGGGUUUAGGAUUAGUCCUAAGAAGUUAGUGCUAGCACUAGGUUAGGGGUAGGAUUAUGUUUCUAGUUACCAUUUUCCUUAGGGUUAUGGUUAGAGAAAUUGCUGUGUUAGGUUAGGAUUUAGGGUUAAAGCGAGGGCUAGAAGUAGGAUUAGAAUUAGGAUUGGAUUUCCAUUUAGUGUUAGGGUCAGAGUUAAAUUUUUGAUUAGGGUUGGGGAUAGGAUUAAGGGAAAGUAGGAUUAGAGUUGGUAUUAGGGUUAGGUAAGGGUAGUGGUACAGAUAAGUUAGGGUUAGGUAAGGGUGAGGGUUUUGGCAAUUUUUAGGUUAGGGUUAAGGUUGGUCUUCUGUUUAGGGUUAGGAUUUCAGCAUUAGGUUAUGGCUCUGCUGGAAUUAGGGUAAGGGUUUAGGAUAAAGGUUCAAAGUUCAUAGCAGGGCUGGGGGAUUGGUUUAGCGUUAGAAUUUUGAGUUACGGUUUAAGAUUACAGUUAGGGUAGAGCACUGAAAUUGCUCACAAUUCUAAAGGAAACCAGGAAAUGCAGGAUCAUAGUGGAUCAGGCUUCACUUAGUCCAGUAUUCUGUCUCCAGAGGCAGCCAGUACAAAGCUGCUUCAGAGGAAGGUCCAAGGGACCCUUUGCUGGAUCGAUAUGGUGGAACCUGCCCAUAGGGAAAAUUUCUUUCUACACCCCACCCCACUCAUGCGACAUUAUUUUACACCCUAGAGCAGGAAGUUUAUUUCCUUUACUCACUCAGAUAAUAUUUUAAUUGACCCCUCAGUUUUUAU
Molecule: non-coding RNA, 1863 nt
Organism: Chelonia mydas (Green sea turtle)
Lineage: Eukaryota; Metazoa; Chordata; Testudines; Cheloniidae
Source: the annotation of a RefSeq genome assembly